Molecule: long non-coding RNA, 1764 nt
Organism: Sarcophilus harrisii (Tasmanian devil)
Lineage: Eukaryota; Metazoa; Chordata; Mammalia; Dasyuromorphia; Dasyuridae
Source: Ensembl
GAAAUGAGGCUGCAGAUUUUUCCCUCCCUUGAUGUACCAUUGGCAUGGUCUUCUUGCAUUUAUUUUUCACUGUGGCUUGAAAAUCCUCUCUAGCUCUGGGGUAGUACUUUCCAUCUUUUGCCCUGAAUCCCAGUGUCAUCUCUGGGAAGUUAGCAGCAUAUGUGAGAGUCUGUGCUUUACAAGUCUGAACAAAACAGAGUGUGGAAUAAGAAAGAGUAUGUGAAACAUUGUACAUUGAAAUGCCAAAAGCAGAGUGUCUGGCAUUGGUUAGCAGUGUAGCUUACACUGUAGAUAUUUGAACAUUCAAGAUGAUUGGGCAGCCUCUCUUAAUGCCUAUACUAAGCAUUGGUGAAUACUGGUGACCUUCACAUGUCUUGGGGUAGAGGACAUAAUUGAACAUUUUCAGCCUCAUUUUUCUCACUGGGUUCACCUUUAGCCACUCGAUGUUGCACUCCAGCACUCCUCUCUCUGCCCAGUGGGUAAGGAGGAGCAUUCACACAGACAGACUAGUGAUUUUUUUAAACACUCCAUUAUAUAUUUGGGCAGGAGGUCUGCCUGAGCACUUGGUUAUCUCAUAUCCUCAGGAAGUGACACAAAAAGAAUCAAGGAGGGCCUCUCAGCUUACAGUCUUAGAGUCCAAGGAGGUUAAAGAUCCCAAUGCAGUCCAUGAAUCCAGAACCAUCCAUAGCAUAUGUGAGCCCCAGGGCUCUACGAGGCUGAAAUAGAAAGGUGUUCUUGAGGCAAGUCUAGAUGUCCUGAUGUUCCAGACUUAGAAGUUGUGUGUUCUUGGACUAAAGAUUAAUCGAUGGUGAAAAUUAGGGGAAUCGUCCCCACAUCCCUGAGCUGAGUGAAGUCUGUCCCUUUAUAAAGUCCAUCAAAAAAGAGUGAACUUGUGGCUGUACUCAUAGAUGUCAGUGGGGAAAGGAGGUUCCCUAAUGGAGUAUCGGAAAUUACUAAAGCCUAGGAAAGCAGAGAAUAUGAACUUACACGAUCCAUGGUAGCAAAAGUAGGAUCCAACUGACCAGAGGAGAAAGUGGUAGCCACAACUCGGUGUCUAGUGAUCACAGGAUCAUAGCCUUAGAGACCAUAGAGUCCAACCUCCUCAUUCUUCACAUGAGGAAACAGGCAUAGAGAUGCAGUGACUUGCCCAGGAUCACAGCUAAUGUUCAAGGUAGAAUUUGAAUCCCAAUCUGGUCUUCUUGACUCUUAAGGCCAGCCUAAUAGCAGCCUAUUUCACACUACCUUUGAUUUACCAACUUGAGUUUGGUAUAACUAAAGGUUUCUGGUUAGUUUGCAAUGGCUUAAUGCCUUGGUUUCCCCAAUUGUGAAAUAGAAACGAUCAAGUGAAAGGUAAAUCCUGAAGUGUGAAGGACAAGGGCUAUUGUUGAAAUCACUUGAAUGGAUCAGACCAAAUCUUUUCCGAAUCCCAGUCACUCUAAGUCAGUACAAAACAGAGGACUUGGCCACUGUGUGAACAAUAAAUGCAAAUUUCCUUUCCAAGACCAUUGGUUGAGAGAAACACACCCAUCAAGUCUACUACUGGGGCUGUAGAGUGGAGGGAAGAUCACAGUAAGAAAUCCCAAACACCCCUCUGACUGUUCUUGAAAUAGGAACAGAAAUGGGCCCUUUCCACAAGCAAAGAAGUGCUUACUGAGUACCCCCCACUUUGGUAGCAUGUUUCUGAUUCACAGAAGUAGAUGGGUAGAAUUGAGUCUACCUACCUUUUGUUGGGAUCACUGCACUUUCGCCAUCUCAACAUCAACC